UAGCUUAGUGGUUACUUUAGUAGGGGUAGGGGUCGCUUAGUGGUUAAGACGCUGGACUCCUGAUCGGAAGGUUGAGAGUUCAAAAUCCCAGCACCACCAGGCUGCCACUGCUGGGCCUUUGAGCAAGGCCCUUAACCCUCAACUGCUCAGUUGUGUAAAUAAUAAGAUAAUUGUAAGUCGCUCUGGAUAAGGGCGUCUGCCAAAUGCCAUAAGUGUAAAUGUAAAUUUUAGUAGUGUACCACAGCGCUAGUAAAUUCUCGAUUCUGAUUGGUCAGAAGGUGUUGAUAAAUUUUUAGGUAAAAUCACUGAUUAUGGAGAAGCUUGGAGGUGUUUUAUUUAACAAUUUAUGGAAGCAGAAUCCAGUGUCAGUGCUUUGUAACUUAUACAAGAAGGGGAAAAAAGACUGGUGACUGGUGGAAUGACCUUUUAUACCUGCUAUAAGGUAAGUGAUAACAUGAACUAACUAGUUCCUCAGACGUUCCACAACAUUAAUUAUAACUAUAAAUGAAUAAAAAGUGCAAUAUGUUCUUUAGUCAAUAAAAUAAACGUAAAUGUUGGCAAAUCCUGCGGUAUAAGAGGAAUAAGACACUUUGGGAUGUGUUAUUUUCCUGUAACAGUACAUCCUAAUUGCUUUAUUCCUUACUGCAACCAUCUAGUGUAGUGGUAUUUCCACCCAACAUCCUUGACAAUAAAAUAUAUAAGCAUAUAAAAGACAAUACAUACAGUGAAACAAAUUAUACACGGGCAAUAACUGCUGUCAUAUGUCCUUGUUCGGGUUGUUUAUCUUGUCAUUUUCUUGUUAUUUUAUUGUAGGAGAAAUGAUUAUCUCGUUACAGUGGCACCUGUCAAGGGGUGGGAUAUAUUAGGCAGCAAGUGAACAGUCAGUUCUUGGAGUUGAGGUGUUGGAAGCAGGAAAAAUGGGCAAGCGCAAAAAUCUGACCGACUUUGAUUAGGGCCAAAUUGUGAUGGCUUAAAUGACUGGGUCGGAGCAUCUGCAAAACAGGUAGGUCUUGUGGGGUGUUCCCGGUAUGCAAUGUGUAGGACCCCGGUGUGUGCGAGUGUGGAGGAAGACUCGGGAGGCAGGCAGAACUUUAGCCAACCUCCAGGCUAGAGUUUAUUCAGUCCGUGCUUUCCAGUGCACGUUCAAAAAAAAAAAAACAACAACAGGAAACGGCUCCGUCCUGGACUCGCAGCUUUCGAUCCGUUAACUUCUAGUUCACACUUCUUGGUGUGUAUGUGUGUGCGCGUGUCUGUGUCUCACAAGCUCUGCCAAGCGGUAUCACACUCUCUCUCUCUCUUUCUCUCUCUCUCUCUGUCUCCCCGGGCUACGGGACACGCAAAUAUGUAGACUGGCGUUAAUGAGACACAGAUGAGAAUCAUCAGGCGUUACCUGCCGGUUCGACCCGCCUCCUCUCCGUCCACAGCUGCUGCUCGACCACUCCCCUGAAGGACAACUGGUGAAUCGGCGACAAGGUCGUGGGCGCCCAAGGCUCACUGAUGCAAAGGCUAGUCCGUCUGUCUGGUCCAAACCCACGGAAGAGCUACUGUAGCACAGAUUGCUGAAAAACUUAAUGCUGGCUAUGAUAGAAAGGUAUCAGAACACACAGUGCAUCAGAGCUUGCUGUGUAUGGGGCUGCGUAGCCACAGACCGGUCAGAGCGCCCAUGCUGACCCCUGUCCACUGCCGAAAGCACCUACAAUGGGCACAUGAACAUCAGAACUGGACCAUGGAGCAAUUGAAGAAGGUGGCCUGGUCUGAUGAAUCACGUUUUCUUUUACAUCUUAUGGAUGGCAGGGUGUGUAUGCAUCACUUACCUGGGGAGAGGUGGCACCAGGAUGCACUAUGAGAAGAAGGCAAGCCGAUGGAGGCAGUGUGAUGCUCUGGGCAAUGUUGUUCUGCUGUGAAACAUUUUGUUCCUGGCAUUCAUGUGGAUGAUACUUUGACACGCCUACCUAAACAUUGUUGCAGACCAAGUACACCCCUUCAUGGCAACAGCAUUCCCUAAUGGCAGUGGCCUCUUUCAGCAGGAUAAUACGCCCUGCCACACUGCAAAACUUGUUCAGAAAUGGUUUAAGGAACAUGACAAAGAGUUCAAGGUGUUGACUUGGCCUCCAAUUUCCCCAGAUCUCAAUCCGAUUGAGCAUCUGUGGGAUGUUCUGGACAAACAAGUCUGAUCCAUGGAGGUCCCACCUCGCAAAUUAGAGGACUUAAAGGAUCUGCUGCUAACUUCUUGGUUCCAAAUACCACAGCACACCUUCAGAGGUCUUAUGGAGUCCAUGCCUUGAAGGGUCCGAGCUGUUUUGGUGGUACAAGGGGACCUACACAAUAUUAGGCAGGUAGAUUAAUGUUAUUGCUGAUUGGUAUAUGUUAUUUAAUUAUAUGUUUGAAAGAUUUCAAUUUAUUUAAAAAAAAAAAACAACCUAAAAAUCAAUUCUCCUUAUUUUCCCAGCACGUCCCACUUUGAAUAUUCCUGACCUACAGUGUUUCAAAUUUAGGUUUAUCAAAGAAUUAAAUCUCCAUUAAUUGGAUUGUAUCAACUUUAUUUAGCAAUCAAAUGUAUCUUAAAUACUGUCUAAAAUUUACAGAAAAUUAUAUUUACAACUUAUAAAAUACAUUGAAAUUCUUUUUUUUUCCGUAUUACAAAUGAGCACCAAAAAUGAUAAACCUUGGCUCACUUUCUGACAGCGGUAUCACUAAAAAAGAA
Molecule: long non-coding RNA, 2704 nt
Organism: Pangasianodon hypophthalmus (striped catfish)
Lineage: Eukaryota; Metazoa; Chordata; Actinopteri; Siluriformes; Pangasiidae
Exons: 2
Source: RefSeq, a predicted model, not a curated record